CACAAAUAACGACUAACUACCCAUAAUUCAGUCCACCACAAUUUUUCUUACGUCGUGGUUGGACCCGCACUUUGCCCCAGAAUAAAAUCUCAUUCUGUAAGUUUAUAGUUAGAAACAAUUUCAAAGGAAUCAUUUAAAAUUUAACCUUUUUUCUCUUACAGUAUAACUUUUCAAAACUUUUUGAUAUCCUAGAAAUACAAAAGAAUUUUAGCGAUGAAACAAGUAAGUAGCCAUUUUGACUUCUUCAACGUGACCUUGCAGAAAUGCACCAUGUGUUUUUUAGAUUUUUUAAUUUUUGGAAUAAUUUUCGACACGUACAAUAAUUGUUAUUAACAUCCCUUAAGGCUUUACAUUUUAAAUCUAACCGUUGAUCUGUCCAAACUUAUAUAUUUUUGAAGUAAUCGAAUUCAUUCGACGAUGAAUAUUUUUCCCUUUUCUGAUUUUGUUUCCUAAAAACUUGACGUUGUGCCUGAGGAAGAGACUUUAAGUCUCGAAACAUGUAGCACUUAUAUAAAAAUAAAUUUCUUUCAUCGUU
Molecule: non-coding RNA, 535 nt
Organism: Onthophagus taurus
Lineage: Eukaryota; Metazoa; Arthropoda; Insecta; Coleoptera; Scarabaeidae
Source: RefSeq, a predicted model, not a curated record